Molecule: long non-coding RNA, 4498 nt
Organism: Populus trichocarpa (black cottonwood)
Lineage: Eukaryota; Viridiplantae; Streptophyta; Magnoliopsida; Malpighiales; Salicaceae
Exons: 7
Source: RefSeq, a predicted model, not a curated record
AAAGAGAUAAAAAGUCAAAAUCUAUGUGUGAAUCAUCAUGCCAUCCGGCAUAGAUUAGAUCCGUUUAUUGAAUCGAACAGCUUGGUUAUGUUGGGCAGCCGGGGAGCAGGCUAGUCAAAUAUUUGAGGUGAGGUAGCAAUAGCAUAGCACCUGCCUGGUCUUCAACUGAGAAACACUGGCUCCGAGGCUACUGGAAGGAAAAGGAAUAUAAAGGAGAAGGAGAACGAAUCCCUUCUUCUUCACAAUCCCUUUUCACUUUCCAAUGAAGAAGAAGAAGAAGAAACGACAGCACCACCUUCAACCUCAUCAUCCAACGCACCACCACCAGCUCAACGCCUCCUUUCUCUCGAAGUUUUUCGUGGCCUUGCCAUCGCCGUAAUCAAGAUCAAUUUCUUCACAAGUUAUUUUUCCCCUUACAGCCCAUGAUUUUAGUUGAUGAUGCUGGAGGAGCUUUUCCUUGUAUCAAUCACUCUCCGUGGUUUGGCGUGACGCUUUCUGAUUUUGUGAUGCCCUUUUUCCUCUUUGUUGUUGGUCUCUCUAUCAGUUUAGUUUUUAAGAGUCAUAAUUAAACGACAAUAAGUUCAAGUCUCUUUAACUCAAGGCAGUUGAGGAGAUACGAAGUCCUAAUAGGGCUCAAGCAAAAUUUAGACCGAAGGUUCAAAACUCAUUUAACAAGCUUUUCUGUCUGCGUCAGACUGCCAUCUUUCUCCAUUUUGAAGUCUAGGAAGAAACUGGACUAGAGGAACAUUUUCUGUGGUGAUUUCUUGUACUAUAAUCAUGAUGUUGGAUUCAAGAAUAACAUGAUGUUAUAAGAAUUUUACUUCUUCCAUUUUGGCAUCUGCAAGGGCUUUGUACUUUGAAGCUUGCUCCCAUCACCAGGUCCAGUCAUUUUAGCUCGCAAAAGUCAAAAGGAAAUACAAGUGACUCCCAUUGUGUCAAAGUACAUCCCUAUUGGAUCAAAACUCAAGGGCAGAAAAAAAAAGGGUUUAGCUUAUUGCUCAACCAUAAACUGAAUGCUGGAUUAGAUGUUUUAUACAUAUUGGUGGCAAAGAUGGUCGCUUUCUGGCUGUAUGGCCUUUAUGAUCCAGACUGGGAAUUUGAAGUUCCAAGCACACAUCUGUUUGGUUACAAAUCUGCUUUGUUAGUGGGCCAUUCUUCACCGGAAGCAUGUUUUCUGUUGAUUUAUCAACCAUUUUCUGCUCAAACAAUGUGAAUUGUGGAGUGAAGGGAAGUCUUGAACCUCCUUGUAAUGCAGCUGGCCUGAUUGAUCGAUUUUUUCUUGGUGAGCAUCCUCUAUAUCAGCACCCUGUGUAUAGAAGAACAAUGGUGAUGUUCUGAGGAACUCACAUAACAAUUACAUUGUUUUCAUAGCAAUGUAGUGUUAAUUCUCCUGACUAUACCUCUAGUACCAGAUUCACCUGGUUGGUUCCUUGCUCCAUUUGACUCCAAGGGCAUCUUGAGGUCAGAUAAACUGCAAUGCUUUCUCUUGCUCCAUAUUCUUAUGAAUCACCAGAUUAUUUUCUCCAUUAUAAUAACAUACAUUAAAGCCAAGUGCCUAUUUCAGAUGCUUUCACUGUACUAAUGUGUAGUGAUACAGCUCUUAGCAUGUCAGCAAAUAAUCAGCUCCUUUUUUUUUUCCCAGUUUUGAAAAACUUUACAUGGGUUCCUUGUUUUUUGCCAAUUAUAAUUUAGGUUUCCCAAAUUUAAUAAUUUAUCAAUGAGGUCCCUUAAGUAUCACAUAUAUUUCAAUGGAGUCCGGUCAUCAACUUUGGUUAAUAUUUUAUAUCAUUUUAUGCACUAAAACAAGACUGGAUUGAUGAGAAUUUGACAUUUUUAGAUGAAAGACCUAAUUGAAAAAUGUGUUGACACUCAAAAAAUGAAACUGAUAAAUAGAUAGAUUUAGAUGAAUUUAAGAAUUAGUUAUUAUGUUAGGAAAGAAAAUUAAAUGCUCUGAUGUUUAUCAACCACAUGGAGGACAAAUAGAUUAUACUAAUAUAUUAAAAUAUAGAAAUAUCCAUAGCAACUUGAGGGUGUCAUUCUAAUUGAUUGCAAAAUUAUCUGCUGAAAUAGCGUUUCAUUUACAUAAUCUUUUGACACCAAAAAAAAGAAGAAGCUUUUGUGUCAAUGACAAACUUUAGUGUUGAUUUCUUUUCUUAACAAUCUUUUCAGUUUCUUGAUGGCUUCUAUAACAUGUUUUCUUGGAUUGCAGUUUGGUCAUAUACUUGUUCAUUUUAAGGGCCACAUGCAGAGGCUGUAUUUGUCGUGUUCUUUCACUGUACAUUACUGGAUAUGUGUUAAAACUUCUUGGUAGAUUUCCUAUUUUAAAUAUUCAUUUAACAUCAAUGAUUUCUACCAGGAUCCUCUCUUUUUCCGUUAAGUAAUAUUUGGGAAUAUUUCAGGUGUUCCUUUUUAUAAACCAUUAUAUAUGUUGAGCUAUGUGCGCAUUACAGCGGAAGCAUCAGGCUUGGCUUUAAUGAUUAUCUUUUACAUAUGGAGAGAUUUUGAAAAGAUCGAGAGACUAAAGGAGAUUGGCAUGAAAGAAUCAUUUCAAUUCAACCAUAUUUUAUGCAGGCUGAUGUCUAACAUUUUAGAAAACCCUCAAUGGUACUUCAGUGGAUGGGAAUGAAUGCACUCAUCAUUUAUGCAUUGGCUGCAUGUGACCUUUUCACAGCAGCCAUUCAAGGUUUCAUUUGGGGUUCACCGGAAAACAACUUGGUAUGACUGUUUCCUACUUGGCUGCUAGUCCUGUUCUGAGUUAUUCCUUCUCCACCCAAUCUCUCCCCCAAAUAAAUAUUUGUUAGUGUAAUGGCUGGCAUUCUGCUUAUUGGUGCAAGUUUCUGCACUAUGUGAACACAUGCAGAGGCGUAUGCUCGCAUGCACACACUGAUAGAGGAUGAUCCACCUACAUGUUUAAAAAUAUUAUUAUUAGACAAUCUUUCAACCAUUGAUUUUCUUCAGUCGAAUGGCUGAUACAAUGUCAUACCUCAUAUACAAUUACUGCUUACAACUAAAUAUGACAUGCAGGUUACUGUUAAAACAUACUACUAUAUUAGAACAUACCACAGUUACCGUUGCUUCUCACUAUUUCAUUCUUCCUCUUCAGAUCUAUAGUUUGCUGAGCCUAUAGUCAGUGUUCUGAAUGUUUUGGUGCUUACAACUAAAUAUGACAUUGAUGGCACAUAAUCGCUGUUGCAAGCCAUGUUCCAUUCAAAGAAGUGGAGCACCUUGGUUUUUGUACCAGUGGUGAUUUUAUUUUGAAGGGCAUGUAUGCGAGACUGCAUAGUAUAGUAGAUACUGCUUGUUCCCUGUGAAAGACUUGUACGUUGUUAUUCCUGCAACAGUGUCUUUUAAACGAUGAUCAAGAGUCAGGAUCAAUUUAGUCUUGAGAUUAUUUGCGUCAUCGUUCCACUUUAAUUCCUAGUUGCAACAUAAAGACGUAAAAUUAAAGAAAAAGGAAAAAAGAAGAUCAUCACUCAAAGGUGUUCCGGAUAGGGAAAAAGGCAUUGGAUUGUUUCAACCUUACUCAUUCCUUAGAGCUGGAAAAAAAAGAUAAGGUAAAAUACGAAGGCAAGCCUUGUUCGGUGGCUUUGCUGUAUUCACAAGGGGCGGCAGAGAAUCAACACUGGCCCAAAAGUGUUAGCUUUGACUAGUGAUUAAUCAUAGCAAAUUGCCAAGCGUGUAUUGAUAUUUAUCUAACCUCCACCUGCAGGAGGAUUUCGAGUUCCUAGUCAUGAAAAAUAUUAUUGCGAGGUGCCUUCUUGUCUUCGCCAAAAAGGCAAGCGAGAGGCAGCCACAAUAAUGCCAUAAUGGUUGAUUGUGCAGAUCACAGAUUGACGGUUUUGUUUCUUCCUUUUCAAGAUAAGUAUCACUUCUUCUUUGCUAAAAGAGUUCUGCCAUGGAUUUAUCUUUCGGCCAUAAAAAACUUUGCCAGCUUCAGAUUCCACCAGGCAAGAUCACAAAAAGUUUUAUGCUCACUUCUAACCCUUUCUUUUCUAACUCGUAUAUAAUCACUCGCCUUGUAUUCCACACACCUUGUAGAGCCUACAGCCUCGCGAAACUCCUUCCCACUAUUCAGGGAAGCGAUUAGACGAGAGAGAGAGAGAGCGAGAGGGAUGGCAACUGAAAAGGCAGAUGUUGAGGUUUCUGACACCAACAACGACGGCAUCCAGAAUACCUCAACGCACACCUCAGUUAACAGCGAGACACCGACAUCAGCUGUCCCGCGCUUUGGAAAAGCGCUUGCACACAGAGCCCUCUAUGGUUCAAGCAGCCGCCAUGGUGGAAGUCGAAAGGCCAGAUCCAGUGAUGUGAAAACAUUACCGAGUAGGCUAAGCAAGGUCUCACUAGCUGAUGACACGGAAAAUAGGGAAUGAGUGCUUUACUGUACUGAUCCUGUGCUAAAUUUCUGUGUGUAAUGGGAUAUUGUAGAAUUCGUAACAUUCUAAACCAAUGUACAACUCUGAUGCUUAAUAGAUAUCAGUAGAUAAAUAUUAGUUUC